RNAcentral lists this ribosomal RNA (494 nucleotides) under uncultured bacterium. RNAcentral describes it as "partial 16S ribosomal RNA". It matches the Rfam family "Bacterial small subunit ribosomal RNA", at positions 28 to 507 of the family's 1533-position model. The record is from RNAcentral.
GACGAACGCUGGCGGCGUGCUUAACACAUGCAAGUCGAACGGAAAGGCCUGCUUUCCCUUGUGGAUUGCGGGUACUCGAGUGGCGAACGGGUGAGUAACACGUGAGUGAUCUGCCCCCAACUUGGGUAUAAGCCUGGGAAACUGGGUCUAAUUCCCGAUAGGACUGCAGGGUGGUGCCUGUGGUGGAAAACGAUCUUCUAGUGGUUGGGGAUGAGCUCGCGGCCUAUCAGCUUGUUGGUGGGGUAAUGGCCUACCAAGGCGGCGACGGGUAGCCGGCCUGAGAGGGUGGACGGCCGCAUUGGGACUGGGAUACGGCCCAGACUCCUGCGGGAGGCAGCAGUGGGGACGAUUGCGCACUGGGCGGAAGCCUGAUGCAGCGACGCCGCGUGGGGGAUGACGGCCUUCGGGUUGUAAACUCCUUUCGACCGCGAGGAAGCCACCUGGUUGGAAGGGUGGUGACGGUAGUGGUAGAAGAAGCACCGGCUAACUACGUG